UCUUACCACGGUGCCUCUUCCAUCCCUCGACUACUCCCAAAGAUGCACCAGGAGCAACGCAGACAGUGUGGGACAGACCCUGCAGGUGUGGCGCCUCGGGCCAACCAGGAGACCCAGUCAGGGUGAGGCUCCUGCCGUGUCUCUGUCUUAGAGUGAAAAUCUAGAAGGAAGGUGGUUACCACGGGGAAGGGGGCUGGUACAUUUAUAUGUUAAAAAUUAAGACAGACUUUUUCUGCCUGAAAUUGAGACUGAUUCGGUGGAUCGGUUGGACUCGAAGGACAGCUUUGCUGAAGAAGUCAUUGUUACAGACUGACCGUCUG
This is a non-coding RNA of Ceratotherium simum simum (southern white rhinoceros), 320 nucleotides long. NCBI's taxonomy places the organism in Eukaryota, Metazoa, Chordata, Mammalia, Perissodactyla, Rhinocerotidae. The record is from RefSeq and is a predicted model, not a curated record.